This 301-nucleotide ribosomal RNA is filed under the name uncultured bacterium. RNAcentral's name for it is "partial 16S ribosomal RNA". It matches the Rfam family "Bacterial small subunit ribosomal RNA", at positions 509 to 807 of the family's 1533-position model. The record is from RNAcentral.
CAGUCGCCGCGGUAAUACAGAGAGUGCAAGCGUUAAUCGGAAUUACUGGGCGUAAAGCGCGCGUAGGUGGUUCGCCAAGUUGGAUGUGAAAUCCCCGGGCUCAACCUGGGAACUGCAUCCAAAACUGGCGAGCUAGAGUAUGGUAGAGGGUGGUGGAAUUUCCUGUGUAGCGGUGAAAUGCGUAGAUAUAGGAAGGAACAUCAGUGGCGAAGGCGACCACCUGGACUGAUACUGACACUGAGGUGCGAAAGCGUGGGGAGCAAACAGGAUUAGAUACCCCGGUAGUCCCUGUCUCUUAUAC